RNAcentral lists this ribosomal RNA (477 nucleotides) under uncultured bacterium. RNAcentral's name for it is "partial 16S ribosomal RNA". It matches the Rfam family "Bacterial small subunit ribosomal RNA", at positions 28 to 523 of the family's 1533-position model. The record is from RNAcentral.
GACGAACGCUGGCGGCGUGCUUAACACAUGCAAGUCGAACGGUAAGGCCCUUCGGGGUACACGAGUGGCGAACGGGUGAGUAACACGUGGGUGAUCUGCCCUGCACUUCGGGAUAAGCCUGGGAAACUGGGUCUAAUACCGGAUAGGACCCUGGGAUGCAUGUCCUGGGGUGGAAAGCUUUUGCGGUGUGGGAUGGGCCCGCGGCCUAUCAGCUGGUUGGUGGGUGAUGGCCUACCAAGGCGACGACGGGUAGCCGGCCUGAGAGGGUGACCGGCCACACUGGGACUGAGGUACGGCCCAGACUCCUGCGGGAGGCAGCAGUGGGGAAUGUUGCACAAUGGGCGCAAGCCUGAUGCAGCGACGCCGCGUGAGGGAUGACGGCCUUCGGGUUGUAAACCUCUUUCAGCACCGACGAAGCGCAAGUGACGGUAGGUGCAGAAGAAGGACCGGCCAACUACGUGCCAGCCGCCGCGGUAA